Molecule: non-coding RNA, 4673 nt
Organism: Oryctolagus cuniculus (rabbit)
Lineage: Eukaryota; Metazoa; Chordata; Mammalia; Lagomorpha; Leporidae
Source: RefSeq, a predicted model, not a curated record
GGGUCAGAGAGAGAUUUGGAGAGAGAGAGAGAGAGAGAGAGAGUAGGCUGAAGCUAGACUGGUCCAAAGCCACAAGCCAGGAAUUCAGAUCUGAGUCCCUCAUGUGGAUAGCAGGAAGCUAAUCAUUUCAGUCACCUCCGCUGUCUUUCAGGGUCCUCACUAGCAUGAUGCUGGAGUCAGGAGCCAGAACUGGGUAUAGAACUCAGGUACUCCGACACAGAAUAUGGGUAUCUUAACUGGCAUCUUAACCACUGGGCCAAAAGUCGACCCCUUGGUUAUUUUUCUUGAUGUUUUAUAUCACACUUCAUUUAUUUCCCAGAAAUUGUCUUGAGAUAUCCAAACCCAAAUACCAGUGUUUGUCAGUUUUUCUUACAAUUGACAAUGUUUCAUAAAAAAGAAAUAACUAUCUCUUGCCACUCACAGAAUCUGUUGUUCUUGGUAGCUUUGGGAGCCACAAGGAGGGAAGGACUAUACUUCCAGGGAAGAAAAGUCCUUGUCAAGGUCCCGCGGGUACCUAAAGGUCAACCAAUGAGGAUCAGACCCGCCUCAACCUUUAACCCCCAUACCCCGAAUCUAUAAAAGGAGCACUCCCAAUCCCUGACCCGGGACUUCCCCUGCCCCAGCUCUGUUGCUUUGUUGGGGCCAUGGAACCUCGCCUGGGAGCAGAACUCCAAUAAAAGCCUGUGAAUUAAUUGACUCAUCUGCCUGGGGAGAUUUGUUAUGCGCCAGGACACCUUGCAGUUCUCAAGACAACCAACAUGUCUAUGUACAACAUAAGUGCUUUAUGAGGGCUCGUUCUACAUUUUUUUCUGUUGUUAUUGUGAAUGUGUGUGGGAAAUAGCACAAUGAGCAAUAAUACAAUUUCGUGGCACUGCCGAGCUGAAGAUCAGCAGGUGUCUUUAUCCACCAUUGCUUUUCAACCAUCACUGUAAGUGUUAUCACAGUGGGAAAGGCAAAUUACACCUUGGUAUUGUUAAAAAAAAAAAAAAAGAGCAUUUUUACCUCCUGGGCCCCGUCAAAGUCUCAGGGAUUCUCAGGGGCUCAGGGACCAUAUUUGGAGAACUUUUACUCUAGUCUUUUUUUUUUUUUUUUUACUUGAGACAUAGAAAUAGAGUGACAAAGAGAAAGGUCUUCCAUCCGCUGGUUCACUCCCCAAGUGGCUGUAAUGGCUGGAGCUGGGCAGAUCCAAUUCCAGGAGCCAGGAGCUUCUUCAGAGUCUCCUAUAUGGGUACAGCAGCCCAAGAACUCAGGCCAUCUUCUACUGCUUUCCCAGGCCAUAGCAGAGAGCUGGAUCAGAAGUGGAGCAGCUGGGACUUGAACCAGCACCCAUGUGGGAUUCUGGUGCCACAGACCACAGCCUUACCUACUCUGGCACAGUGCUAGCUCCUCAACCAGUCUCUUAAUUGCAAGGCCAAAAGGUCCGAGUUACCGAGAGAGGGAUAGAGAUAUUCUGUCUGCUGCUCCAUUCCCCAGAUGAUCACAUAGGCAGGGACUGGGAUGCCGGCAUUGCAGGUGGCGGCUUUUCCUGCUAUGCCACAAUGCUGGUCUCCUGCAAUUCAUUUAUAACUGGGUUUUGAAAUACACGCCAACCAAUGUCUGGUUUUCAAACUAGACUUGGACAUGUGUGCCAAAAAUAUACAGAAACAGAUACUCUUGAAUUUGUAGUAACUUACUUACAUUCUUAGUGAAUAAGAAGUUAGGGAGCAACCUUUUCCCAGUAACUUAAAUAUUUAUUACCAGUUGUAAUUAAAUGACUAGAAGUUACUGUGAUGCCCAACAUCAGCAAAUAUAGCACCGUCAUAUAGUCUAUGUUAGAGUAAACCAUGCCAUAGAACAGAAUGUUAUCUAUAGAAGAGAACCCAUCUAAUGUUAGGGAAAUUGAGAGAAUUUAUAUAUUCUAAAGGGUAGCAAUUUUCAGAGUAGAUCCAGGGAAGAGACCACCACAAAGAGUCAUUUUUUGAUUUAGUUAAUUUUUGUUUUUUUUAUGUUACCCAUAUAUAAUAUUUCCUCUUAAAAUAAGCCUCCUAUUCUUCAUAUCUUUGUGCUAUUGUUCUCAAAAGUAGGGCAGCAGGGCCAUCGCAGGCGGUCCUGCUGGGAAAUCAGCACACAGGACUCCCUUGUAUCCUCCCCACCUUUUUUGCAACUGUUGCAAACACAGGAAAUGGUGAUUUGGUCCACUAGUGUGGCCAGUAGGAAGAACACCAGCUUUGGGACCAGUUCAGACCUGCUGGACCUCUGGGCAAUUCUUUCUCUCUGACAUGGCAGAAAAACCAACAUGUAUGCCUACAAAGAAACCUAAUGAUGAAGAAACACAAAAAGAAGAGAAUAUCCAUUGCUUAACCACACUUGGCCAUUUUGGUUUUGAAUGUUUGCCCUACCAGUUGGUAAAUAGGGCUCUCCAUCAAGGAUUCUCUUUUAAUAUUCUCUGUGUGGGGGAGACUGGAAUUGGAAAAUCAAUGCUGAUUGAAACAUUGUUUAAUACCCAUUUGAGAGAUAACAAAUCCUCACAUUUUUACCCAAAUGUUGGACUUAAAAUUCAGACACAUAAGCUGCAGGAGAGCAAUGUUCAAUUGAAACUGACUGUUGUGAAAACAGUGGGAUAUGGAGAGCAAAUAAACAAAGAAGCCAGGCAUGAUUGACUUUUGAAAAUGACAAUCCAGAGAAAUAGUGCCAUUAGUAACUUCCUUUGUAGGCCAUCAUUCUCCUCUCUGAGAAAGUCUGGUCCCUGAUGGCUCAAGGUCCCAGGCAGGUGGCAGGCAGCCUUCCUCACCCCUCCACCUAGUCUCUGGAUUCUGAUAUCCAACAGCAACAGCAGCAGCAAGGAGAAACUGGGAGGCGGGCAAGAGGCACAGCCUGGAUCAGCAGUGCUAGGGAGAGACCACAGGCCCCCUGCUAGCGGAUUCUUAUUCCUCAGGAGGUUGGGAACCCUGACCCUGAGACCUGCUGAUCUAGGAGGGUGCCAUUGUGACUGCGCUCCAUGAUGUCAUCAUUGCCAAGCACUGCUCCUUCCAUAUUCUACAGCAGUUAGAGGCCACUCCUGUGUCAAGUGACCGGCUGAGCUGGAGUUUGUUUUCUAGGCAGCAAGCAAGUUCAGGACACAGGGAUGGAUUCAGGUCCAGUGAAGCUUAAGAGUCAUUUGCCCUUAUAUUAAAAUGGAGUUUUGUAAAAAAAAAAAAAAUCCUGCUCAACCGGUGUGCAAAAUGCACACAAAACAAAAAAUGUUGCUACUUUAUCUGCAUGAAAAAAGAAACACAAUUCAGGCGGCGCUCAAAUAAGCCUCCAAAGUGCCCGCCACUGGACGCCAUCUUGCCCGGAAGUAGGAUAGAUCAAGGCGUGCCAGGAUUGGCUGGAGAAUCGACAGCAUCGGUCAUCAUUUCCUGAGAGCACGGACUGAAGAGACGUGGUGCCGCCCCCUGGCAGCCCCGCAGAGAGGAUUCAAGCUCUGGAAGUAGCCUGGAUUUGAGAGCUGGAUGGAAGGCAGGCAUUGUAGUGAUCAUGGUGAAAAUGUGGCUGCAACUGACACAAGUUGGUCUAAACUGGGACUCCCAAAUAGAGGCCCAGAUGACCUGAUAAAGAGAAUAAAUAUAGAUAUGCAUACAGUAGUCAGAAUAACUCCAGUGGAAAUUACCCUAAAGUUCCAAAGUCUCUAAAUUACAACCUAGAGAAGACUUGCAUCUGGGCUGAGGUACAUCUUGUGAUUCAAGAGCCAAGGGAGCACACCGAAGAAAGAAAGCCUGUUUUGGGACAAGAAUUAGACUAAGAAAUAACAGUGCAUCUCCAAUUAAUAGUGAGUGGCCAGAAUGUGGUGCUGACGAUCCAUUGUGACAAACCUCAGAUGAAAAUUUUGAAUUUGUCAAUGGCUUUUAGCAGAAAUGAGGCAGAGUCUCUGGAGCCCCCUGGUCUGCCAGAACCAUCAGAAUGGCAGUACCACUGAGCCCUUCGUCCGAUCCAGCCAAUAAAAAUAAUAUGGUUGUGUGUAACCAGGCAUCGCGUUGCCGACUAGCAGAGAACCAGCGGGAAAUACAAGAUCUGAAAGAGAUAGUUCGUCAUUUCAGCUUCAUCCUCCACCAAGAGGAAAACAAUUAUGGUGAGGGCCAAGAGGUGAUUCAAUCCAGGCUAAGGGAGAAGCCAGCACUUGGAACUCCACAGCUUGAGAAGCUGGCACCUGCCGAGUUCAAGAAAUGCCAUGUAAAUAAGGCACGCACCCGCAAGCGGUGCCGGCUACGUAAGAAGUCAAGAAAACAGACACAGAUUAGUCAUCUCAGCCUACAUCCCAGAGCCCUCCUCACCCAGCAUGACCCUGACAGCCACCUACAACGGGGCUUGCUGGAGCCACUGGUUGUUCACAGUCAGGCUGGAAAAGCAUCUUGUCUACAAAUGUAGCCUGGGUAAGGGGACCUCAGGCUCUGAUUUCAGAAAGUCUCAAAUUUACAGGAGACUCCACUUCCCUGCAGGAGACAUUUUCCUGCUACCUUGUUUUCAUUGAGAUAUCUGUGGCCAUGACAUGAUCAGGAAUUCUGGAUGAGAACUAGAGUGAGAAACGCACAGGCUUGAAGUUCCUAGCAUUGCAGAAGUCUCCAUUUUCCCCAGUGCAGGUGGCCUUUGAUCAAGAUGCUGUAUCCAUCCAGUUUGAAAGGACAGGAAGGAGGUUGGGGCAGGUGGUGGCUUGUAAG